UACGGGGGGGGCAAGCGUUGUUCGGAAUUACUGGGCGUAAAGGGUUCGUAGGUGGCUCGCUAAGUCAGACGUGAAAUCCCUCAGCUUAACUGGGGAACUGCGUCUGAGACUGGCAAGCUCGAGUGCAGGAGAGGAACGCGGAAUUCCAGGUGUAGCGGUGAAAUGCGUAGAUAUCUGGAGGAACACCCGUGGCGAAGGCGGCUCUCUGGAACGGUACUGACGCUGAGACGCGAAAGCGUGGGGAGCGAACAGG
RNAcentral lists this ribosomal RNA (253 nucleotides) under uncultured bacterium. RNAcentral's name for it is "partial 16S ribosomal RNA". It matches the Rfam family "Bacterial small subunit ribosomal RNA", at positions 524 to 776 of the family's 1533-position model. The record is from RNAcentral.